RNAcentral lists this ribosomal RNA (466 nucleotides) under uncultured bacterium. RNAcentral's name for it is "partial 16S ribosomal RNA". It matches the Rfam family "Bacterial small subunit ribosomal RNA", at positions 28 to 507 of the family's 1533-position model. The record is from RNAcentral.
GACGAACGCUGGCGGCGUGCUUAACACAUGCAAGUCGAACGGAAAGGCCCUGCUUUUGUGGGGUGCUCGAGUGGCGAACGGGUGAGUAACACGUGAGUAACCUGCCCUUGACUUUGGGAUAACUUCAGGAAACUGGGGCUAAUACCGGAUAGGAGCUCCUGCUGCAUGGUGGGGGUUGGAAGUUUCGGCGGUUGGGGAUGGACUCGCGGCUUAUCAGCUUGUUGGUGGGGUAGUGGCUUACCAAGGCUUUGACGGGUAGCCGGCCUGAGAGGGUGACCGGCCACAUUGGGACUGAGAUACGGCCAGACUCCUACGGGAGGCAGCAGUGGGGAAUAUUGCACAAUGGGCGGAAGCCUGAUGCAGCAACGCCGCGUGCGGGAUGACGGCCUUCGGGUUGUAAACCGCUUUCGCCUGUGACGAAGCGUGAGUGACGGUAAUGGGUAAAGAAGCACCGGCUAACUACGUG